RNAcentral lists this ribosomal RNA (594 nucleotides) under Aspergillus sp. BAB-3886. Its description in RNAcentral is "eukaryotic LSU rRNA". The stretch from base 201 to 354 matches the Rfam family "5.8S ribosomal RNA". Lineage: Eukaryota; Fungi; Ascomycota; Eurotiomycetes; Eurotiales; Aspergillaceae. The record is from RNAcentral.
GCGGAAGGAUCAUUACCGAGUGAGGGCCCUCUGGGUCCAACCUCCCACCCGUGUCUAUCGUACCUUGUUGCUUCGGCGGGCCCGCCGUUUCGACGGCCGCCGGGGAGGCCUCGCGCCCCCGGGCCCGCGCCCGCCGAAGACCCCAACAUGAACGCUGUUCUGAAAGUAUGCAGUCUGAGUUGAUUAUCAUAAUCAGUUAAAACUUUCAACAACGGAUCUCUUGGUUCCGGCAUCGAUGAAGAACGCAGCGAAAUGCGAUAAGUAAUGUGAAUUGCAGAAUUCAGUGAAUCAUCGAGUCUUUGAACGCACAUUGCGCCCCCUGGUAUUCCGGGGGGCAUGCCUGUCCGAGCGUCAUUGCUGCCCUCAAGCACGGCUUGUGUGUUGGGCCCCGUCCCCUCCCCCGGGGACGGGCCCGAAAGGCAGCGGCGGCACCGCGUCCGGUCCUCGAGCGUAUGGGGCUUUGUCACCCGCUCUGUAGGCCCGGCCGGCGCCAGCCGACACCCAACUUUAUUUUCUAAGGUUGACCUCGGAUCAGGUAGGGAUACCCGCUGAACUUAAGCAUAUCAAUAAGCGGAGGAAAAGAAACCAACAGGG